Molecule: ribosomal RNA, 303 nt
Filed under: Triticum aestivum (bread wheat)
Lineage: Eukaryota; Viridiplantae; Streptophyta; Magnoliopsida; Poales; Poaceae
Description: partial small subunit ribosomal RNA
Source: RNAcentral
AUGUCAGACUUGAACAACUUUAAUCCUAGAUCCUUGAUGCACUUUUGUGGUCUGUUAUCAGUGGUACUUGUGAGAACCAAUCCUUUUGUAAUGAUAUCUAAAUCUGAAAUGAUGACUUCUGGCAUUUGCUUUAUUAUCUACCUCUGUGAUAAACCUUGCAUUUGUAUUAAGAGCAAGCUGUGGUGUGGUGAUCUGUGGUCAUGGGAUCUUGUUUAUUACCUCUUGCUUGUCUGGCUCUGUUUGGCUGGUUUUUUCAGUAUAAAAGUGGCAGUUGCAGAUACCUUAUUAUCUGGAGAUGAAUAG